Molecule: non-coding RNA, 18 nt
Filed under: Arabidopsis thaliana (thale cress)
Lineage: Eukaryota; Viridiplantae; Streptophyta; Magnoliopsida; Brassicales; Brassicaceae
Source: RNAcentral
UGUAGGUGUGAUGGCUGU